This 322-nucleotide ribosomal RNA is filed under the name uncultured eukaryote. RNAcentral describes it as "partial 18S ribosomal RNA". It matches the Rfam family "Eukaryotic small subunit ribosomal RNA", at positions 1470 to 1796 of the family's 1831-position model. The record is from RNAcentral.
CCCUUAGAUGUUCUGGGCCGCACGCGUGCUACACUGAGUAAUUCAAUGGGUAAGGGAACGCUAGAGCAUUACCUAAUCUUGAAAUUUGCUCGUGAUGGGGAUCGACGGUUGCAAUUCUCCGUCGUGAACGAGGAAUACCUUGUAGGCGCAUGUCAUCAUCAUGCGCCGAAUACGUCCCUGCCCUUUGUACACACCGCCCGUCGCUCCUACCGAUUGAGUGAUCCGGUGAGGCUCUGGGACCUGGACGGAAAGAGCGUUUCGCUUGUUCUGUUUGGGAAACCUGGUCGAACCUUAUCAUUUAGAGGAAGGAGAAGUCGUAACA